UUCCGGUUGAUCCUGCCGGAGGUUACUGCUAUCGGUAUUCGACUAAGCCAUGCGAGUUAAAUGUUCUUCGUGAACAUAGCGAACUGCUCAGUAACACGUGGAUAACCUGCCCUUAGGUUUGGCAUAACUCCGGGAAACUGGAGAUAAUUCCGAAUAAACCAUUCCUGCUGGAAUGCUUUUUGGUUCAAAGACUUCGGUUGCCUAAGGAUGGAUCUGCGGUCUAUCAGGUAGUAGUGGGUGUAAUGUACCUACUAGCCUACGACGGAUAUGGGUUGUGAGAGCAAGAGCCCAGAGAUGGAUUCUGAGACAUGAAUCCAGGCCCUACGGGGCGCAGCAGGCGCGAAAACUUUACAAUGCGGGAAACCGCGAUAAGGGGAUACCGAGUGCCAGCAUAUUAUGUUGGCUGUCCACAUGUGUAAACGGCAUGUGUUAGCAAGGGCCGGGCAAGACCGGUGCCAGCCGCCGCGGUAACACCGGCGGCCCGAGUGGUAAUCACUUUUAUUGGGUCUAAAGGGUCCGUAGCCGGUUUGAUCAGUUCUUCGGGAAAUCUGACAGCUCAACUGUUAGGCUUCCGGGGAAUACUGUCAGACUUGGGACCGGGAGAGGUAAGAGGUACUACAGGGGUAGGAGUGAAAUCUUGUAAUCCCUGUGGGACCACCAGUGGCGAAGGCGUCUUACCAGAACGGGUCCGACGGUGAGGGACGAAAGCUGGGGGCACGAACCGGAUUAGAUACCCGGGUAGUCCCAGCCGUAAACGAUGUUCGCUAGGUGUCAGGGACGGUGCGACCGUUUCUGGUGCCGUAGGGAAGCCGUGAAGCGAACCACCUGGGAAGUACGGCCGCAAGGCUGAAACUUAAAGGAAUUGGCGGGGGAGCACUACAACGGGCGGAGCCUGCGGUUUAAUUGGAUUCAACGCCGGG
RNAcentral lists this ribosomal RNA (920 nucleotides) under uncultured archaeon. Its description in RNAcentral is "bacterial SSU rRNA". It matches the Rfam family "Archaeal small subunit ribosomal RNA", at positions 1 to 922 of the family's 1478-position model. The record is from RNAcentral.